RNAcentral lists this ribosomal RNA (1545 nucleotides) under Triticum aestivum (bread wheat). Its description in RNAcentral is "partial small subunit ribosomal RNA". Lineage: Eukaryota; Viridiplantae; Streptophyta; Magnoliopsida; Poales; Poaceae. The record is from RNAcentral.
AUGGAGGAAUGGUUCAGCUUGUGCUUCAUAGCACUAUGCACGCCGCUUGCCCUUUGGCUUCUCAAGCUCGCCGGCAGCAAGAAAGAGCCACAGAAGCACCAUCUGCCGCCGCCAGGGCCAUGGACUCUCCCGAUCAUCGGCAGCCUCCACCACGUCGCCAGCGCCCUCCCUCACCGCAGGAUGAUGGACCUGUCUCGCCGGCACGGCCCACUGAUGCACCUCAUGCUAGGCGAGGUCCCCACCGUGAUCGUCUCCGGCGCCGAGGCGGCGGCGCUGGUGAUGAAGACCAACGACCUCGCCUUCGCGGGCCGGCCGCAGAGCGCGACGUCCGACAUCUUCGGCUGCGGCGGCAAGAACAUCGGCUUCGCCCCCUACGGCGAGCACUGGCGCCAGAUGCGCAAGGUGUGCAUCGUGGAGCUCCUCAGCUCCAGGCAGGUGAAGCGCAUAGAGAGCAUCAGGGCGGAGGAGGUGGGCAACCUCCUCCGCUCCAUCGCCGCCAUGGAUGGCGCCACCGUCAACGUCAGCGAGAAGAUGACGGAGCUGAGCAACGACAUCGUGACGAGGGCGGUCUUCGGAGGCAAGUUCACGCAGCAGGAAGAGUACCUCCGCGAGCUGGAUGAGGCGUUUGCGCUGGUGAGCGGCUUCUCCCCCGUCGACCUUUUCCCGUCGUCGCGGCUAGUCCGGUGGCUCAGCAACGACGAGCGCCGCAUGAGGAGGUGCCACGGCCACAUCCAACGCAUCAUCGCCAACGUCAUAGACGGGCGCAAGGCCGGGCGAGCCGCCGCCGACGAGGAGGAUCUGCUGGAUGUGUUGCUCAGGCUGCAACAGGAGGACUCGUUGGAAUUCCCUCUAACCACCGAGAUCAUAGGCGCCGUGUUGUUUGAUUGUGCUUUCCACGGCCUUGGUUUACAGGACAUAUUUGCAGGUGCCACGGCGACCAUAGGAACCACCUUGACGUGGGCUCUGUCGGAGCUUGUGCGCAGGCCUGAAACUAUGGCCAGGGCACAACAAGAAGUCCGAGAGGUUCUUGGCCAAGACCGGGCUGUCAUUACCAAUAACGACCUCGCUAAACUCGACUACACGCAGAUGGUCAUCAAGGAAACCCUCAGGUUCCAUCCGCCUGCUUCUCUAAUUCCCCGCGCGUCCAUAGAGGAUUGUACUAUCAUGGGUUAUGACAUCCCCAAAGGCACCAAUGUAUACGUUAAUGUCUUCGCGAUUUCUCGAGAUCCUGCAUACUGGAACAAUCCUGGCGAGUUUAUGCCAGAGAGGUUUGAGAACAGCAACACAAAUUACAAUGGCUCCUACUUUGAAUUCACUCCCUUCGGCGCAGGGCGGCGGCAAUGCCCCGGGAUUCAGUUUAGCUCGUCAGUCAUGGAGAUGACACUAACAAAUAUUCUCUAUCACUUCAACUGGAAGCUUCCUGAUGGUGCUAGCCCGGUUUCGCUUGACAUGUCCGAGAAAUUUGGGCUUGCAGUAAGCAGAAAGUAUGACCUGAAACUUGAAGCUACUCCACACGUCUGGUUCAAUGCUAUGCGGUCGAAGUGA